CAGCCGUAAACUAUGCUCGCUAGGUGUCAGGCAUGGCGCGACCGUGUCUGGUGCCGCAGGGAAGCCGUGAAGCGAGCCACCUGGGAAGUACGGCCGCAAGGCUGAAACUUAAGGAUUGGCGGGGGAGCACAACAACGGGUGGAGCCUGCGGUUUAAUUGGACUCAACGCCGGGAAGCUCACCGGAUAAGACAGCGGAAUGAUUGCCGGGCUGAAGACUCUGCAUGACUAGCUGAGAGGUGGUGCAUGGCGUAGACGUCU
This 259-nucleotide ribosomal RNA is filed under the name uncultured archaeon. Its description in RNAcentral is "partial 16S ribosomal RNA". It matches the Rfam family "Archaeal small subunit ribosomal RNA", at positions 748 to 1009 of the family's 1478-position model. The record is from RNAcentral.